UUCGUUAAGAAGAAACUAAGCUGUUUCUCACCUUACAGCAUUGCUAGUAAGGUUAUACAUUCAUUUUGAUUUGUUUUGUGUGAAUUGUAUAGGACGGCUUAAAGCCGUCCUUUUUAUUUUGU
Molecule: non-coding RNA, 122 nt
Organism: Clostridium botulinum C str. Eklund
Lineage: Bacteria; Bacillati; Bacillota; Clostridia; Eubacteriales; Clostridiaceae
Source: Rfam